RNAcentral lists this ribosomal RNA (966 nucleotides) under Triticum aestivum (bread wheat). RNAcentral's name for it is "partial small subunit ribosomal RNA". Lineage: Eukaryota; Viridiplantae; Streptophyta; Magnoliopsida; Poales; Poaceae. The record is from RNAcentral.
AUGCAAAAAGAAUCUCUCCCCGUUCCUGCAGGCCCACCCACAUGGAAAGAGAAUCCUCGUACAUUUGCUCGCCUCUCUCCCCGCACUGCCUCCUCGCGCCGCCCCGCUUCCUCACCGCUCCAGCCGCGCUCGCCGCUCGCCUCCUCGCUGCUCCGGCCGCGCUCGCCUCCUCGCUGCUCCGGCCGCGCUCGCCUCCCCGCGUCCUCACCGCUCCGGCCGCGCUCGCCUCGCCGCGGGCUCCGACUCCACUGCCUCAGCCUCCACGACAACGCCAUCGCCGGGGCCGUCCCCAGCUCGCUCGGCUUCCUCCCCGACCUCCGCGGCCUCUACCUCUUCAACAACCGCUUCUCCGGCGCCGUCCCGCCCGAGUUCGGCCGCUGCCUUGCACUGCAGUCGUUCGACGCUAGCAGCUCGUCUUCCUCAGCCUCGCGCACAACUCGCUCAACGGGAGGCCGCGGCUGCCCUCCCCUUCGCCGUCGUGGCCCCGAUGACGACUACUUCCCGGAGUCGAGCACGGACACGGGCUCCCUGACAGAGGUGUCGGGCACCACCACGCUGUGCAGCAGGAAGGCAAACACGUUCGCCAUGGACGGGGGUUGGUGGAAGAGGGUCAGAAACACGUUCGCCAAAGUCCCUGAAAUUGUGCGCGUCGUUCACGACAUGCGAGUCGGUGGUUGCCACGAGGAGUUCCGGACGGCGAGGGAGCAGUGCCGCCGCGAACGGGAACGGCGGAGAGCCAUGGCCGACAGCAAGCCCGGGGACGAUGUCGUCUCGUGCGCCAAGGCGACGGCCGCGCUGCGCAAGUGCAUGGAGGGCAAGGACGUCUUGGCCAAGCACCUCGUCGCCAUGGAUGACGGCAUCAGGGAGGACGAGUGGCAGGGGUGGGAUCCCUAUAUGCAGGCGAAGCGGGCCGCCGGGUAUAGAUGGUGGACCGGCAUGAAGAAGUGUGAAGAAGAGUACUACUAG